Non-coding RNA from Potamilus streckersoni, 73 nucleotides. NCBI's taxonomy places the organism in Eukaryota, Metazoa, Mollusca, Bivalvia, Unionida, Unionidae. The record is from the annotation of a GenBank genome assembly.
GCCCCGAAGGCCUAGUGGUAAGAGCGUCCGCCUCAAAUGCGGGAGGUCGUGGGUUUGAACCUCAACCGAGUCA